AAAAUUGCAUUGCUACUCAUGCUUAACCAACUCUACCAGUGAGUUGCCAAGCUCAUGACAUCAUCACUGGCAACACACACUUCAGAUUAGAAGUAGCCUGAUGACAUCACCCUUCCAGUUUCUAUCUAACAGAUGGUUUCUGUAUAUUGUGUAAUUUUUGAUCAUUAUUCAUGGUUUUGGUCAGUAUAAUUCAGGAAGUGAAAAAACUGCCAAGAAAAAUUGACCUGGAACUAGUUCAAAGAGACUAAAUUAUUUUAUUGAUUAGACUCCUUAGCUUUCAUUUUCCAGCAGAGCCAUCAUGAAUCAUCGAUACACAAUAAUAUCUGAGCAAUUUCUGUGUGAGCUGAAUUAAGUGCUCCAAAACAAGGUAAGCUUUGAAGGAUCAGGCCUUGGAGUUGUUUGAAAACAAGAUAGUUAAGAUUUGCUGGGCAGCCCUGAAAGGGGGCCAGAAACUAUUUACUGAGCUAAGUGGCUUGUUUGAACUGGUUUUUUAUUUAUUUUCAUAUUCUACUUGUUGACUUCAUAUCCGCCUUCAGCCCAGCUCCAAGUCUCAGGGCAGGCCCUGUUUUUCACCCAUGUGAACGUGGGCCAGGCAGGAAGCGCCUCGAGAGGCCUCAGCAGAGCCAGGCCCAGCCCUGAGAUAAAGCACAGCACAGCACAGAGCAAGCCUGGAGGAGGGCAAGAAACACUAAGGGAAAGAGAAUAACAGAAAGCCUUGGAAUCUUAUUAUGAAGCUUGCAGAGAGUGCAGCCAUCAAGAAGGCUUCGUGCAAGAAAUAUUCAGAGGAAGUUUGCAGAGGCAGAAUGGCUUUACUGAUGACUGUCAGAAAAUCCUGGAUAUCUGCAGCAAGGAUUUUAUACAUGGUGCAUUCUAGCUUGAAGCUGCGACAAUCCGUAAGCAGUAAGGAUGAAACUUCUAAGAGCAAGAACCUUAAAGAAUGAAAAGAUCUUUACUCUGAGUAUACUGUGUGCCUCCUGUAGCUUCAAAGUGGUUUCUUGUGUUAACAAAAUUAAGUUUUCAGGUGGACAGAGUACAAAUUUAGAGAAAAGGUGUCUAGCUGUACCUCUCAUUUUUCUCUUCUUUCCCUUCAAAGAGCCAAGGGUACUUGACUAAAAGAUUCAGGGAUAUUUAAACCUGAAACCAAACUCCUCUCACCCCGACCUUGUGAAUCCCCCAAGCUGUUGGAAAUUCUGGCACGUUUAUGACCCACAGUCUAGGGCUUGCCUCUUUGUUUUAUUUUCUGGUGAAAAUACGUGUAAGUCUGAAGAUCAGCAAGCCAGCUUAUGCUCACUAUUGC
RNAcentral lists this long non-coding RNA (1297 nucleotides) under Phasianus colchicus (ring-necked pheasant). RNAcentral describes it as "lncRNA (ENSPCLG00000009025.1)". Lineage: Eukaryota; Metazoa; Chordata; Aves; Galliformes; Phasianidae. The record is from RNAcentral.